RNAcentral lists this ribosomal RNA (866 nucleotides) under Thelazia callipaeda (thelaziosis nematode). Its description in RNAcentral is "SSU rRNA". It matches the Rfam family "Eukaryotic small subunit ribosomal RNA", at positions 146 to 979 of the family's 1831-position model. The record is from RNAcentral. Lineage: Eukaryota; Metazoa; Nematoda; Chromadorea; Rhabditida; Thelaziidae.
ACUGUGGCAAUUCUAGAGCUAAUACAUGCACCAAAGCUCAAACUAAAAGGAUGAGCGCAUCUAUUAGAAUGAAUAAACCAAUGGGGUUUGUAAAAGAACUCAUAAAAUAAUUGGUGAAUCUGAAUAGCUAUAGCUGAUCGCAUGGUCUUGUACCGGCGACGUAUCUCACAAGUGUCUGCCUUAUCAACUUUCGAUGGUAGUUUAUGUGCCUACCAUGGUUGUAACGGGUAACGGAGAAUAAGGGUUCGACUCCGGAGAGGGAGCCUGAGAAACGGCUACCACAUCCAAGGAAGGCAGCAGGCGCGCAAAUUACCCACUCUCGGCAUGAGGAGGUAGUGACGAAAAAUAACGAGACCGUUCUCUUUGAGGCCGGUUAUCGGAAUGGGUACAAUUUAAACCUGUUAACGAGGAUCUAUGAGAGGGCAAGUCUGGUGCCAGCAGCCGCGGUAAUUCCAGCUCUCAAAGUGUAUAUCGUCAUUGCUGCGGUUAAAAAGCUCGUAGUUGGAUCUGCGUCUUAGGACUUGGUCCAUCCGAUUGGAUGUGAACUAAGAACCUAGACUAAUAUUUAGCUAGUUUUACUGUAUGUUACCUUAAUUGGUUGCAUAUAGUGGCUGGCAUGUUUACCUUGAAAAAAUUAGAGUGCUUAACGCGGGCUUAUAAUGCUUGAAUACUCGUGCAUGGAAUAAUGAAAUAGGAUCUUGAUUGUUGUAUGCCUAUUUUGUUGGUUUAAAACAUAAAUACAAUUGAGAUAAUGGUUAAGAGGGACGGACGGGGGCAUUCGUAUCGCUGCGUGAGAGGUGAAAUUCUUGGACCGUAGCGAGACGCCCAACUGCGAAAGCAUUUGCCAAGAAUGUCUUCAUUAAUCA